This 5604-nucleotide long non-coding RNA is filed under the name Malus domestica (apple). RNAcentral's name for it is "long non-coding RNA (MDOM_LNC009902)". Lineage: Eukaryota; Viridiplantae; Streptophyta; Magnoliopsida; Rosales; Rosaceae. The record is from RNAcentral.
CUGGAUAUUGCUCCUUUCAAGUUUCAAACCAUUAAAUGCUAAAGAUUUCUGGAUAAAUCAUCGUAGAAGUCGAUUCUACAGAUUCCUUCUUAGUUACACUCAGAUGAUAAUGUAUUUAUUGUCCUUGACAUGUUUUUAAAGUUUGCAUUUUCAAUGUAUAUUUCAUUAACUAAGCUUUAUCAGCGGAAUAUCAUCGCAAAUUUGUUACGGAAAAUGCUAUUGCUAGAUUCUGAUAUAUCUACUUUAGUUUUAAGGAUUACACAUUGUUUUACGAUAUAAAAUAGAUGUUCUGCCUUGAUUUGAUGCGGGGGUAUGCAUUAGCUAACAUUAAUUCUGCUUAGUAUUUCUCAAAUUCAUUUUGGGUUAAAAAGUUGGAGCUUUGGAUCGGGUUUUUUCUUUAUUCAUGUUGGAAGAAUACAUGCAAGUCAUAUCUUGUGUUAAAAUGCAUGCAUGAAAUAAACUUGUUGGAUGACUAGUGAAGUUAGGCUAGUCAACAUUCUUUGUGUAAAAUGCAUGCAUGAAAUAAACAUGUUGGAUGACUAGUGAAGUUAGGCUAGUCAACAUUCUUUGUGUAAGUUAAGCAAGUUAGGCAAGUUAGGCUUAUGUCUACUUUCUUUUCCUAUAUAUAUGUUUCAUUUGUAAUUGUUUCUUCAUGAAAUACACAUAAAAAAUUCUACAUGGUAUCAGAGCAGGUUCAUUUGUAACCUGUCUCUGCCAUUCUUGCUGCUGCAAUUUUUUCUUUCUUUCAAAGUCUAAGUCAUGACUGAAGAAAGUUCUGUGAACCAUGAUGAGGAAACCCGGCACAAUCUCUCUCCAAACUUCUCAGACGUUGAGGUUAACACCAAUCAACGUUUGUGUUCAGUUCUCUUGAACGAGUUCAAUUAUCUUCCUUGGUCCCGAGCUGUUUCACUAGCUCUCGGAGGCAAAGGGAAGUUAGGGUUUGUAAAUGGAAGCGUGGAAGCUCCAGACAGUUCUUCCUCUACAUACAAUGCAUGGCUCUGCAAAGAUCAACUUGUCAUGUCCUUGCUGCUCAAACACCAUGGAGAAACAUGUUGCUGAAAUUUUUAGCUACUCCAAUUCCGCACAUGAUCUUUGGAAAGCUUUGCAGGAUAUGUAUGGAAAUCAAAACAACUAUGCACGGGUCUUCCAAUUAAAGAAGGACAUUGACAGUGCUCAACAAGAAGGGAAAGCAUUUGUUCAACACCUUGGGAGCCUCAAAGCCAUGUGGAAUGAGUUGGAUGUAUAUCUCCCUCAUACCACAGAUCCUACCAUUCUCCUAAAACGAGCUGAGGAAGACAAAAUUUAUCAGCUGUUAGGGAGUUUGAGCUCUGAGUACGAGGACCUAAGGAGUCACAUCUUGAUGAGUCAAGACCUGCCUACCUUCAACAAUGUUUGUGCAACUAUCCAACGAGAAGAAGUAAGGAAGAAGGUUAUGAAUGUUGAUCACAAUCCUAGAUUAACGGAGACUCGGGCAUAUGCAUCAAAGUACAAGAACUCAUAAGCCAAGGUAUACAAGGGAAGAAACACACAUCUAAAAUGCAAAUAUUGCAAUGGUGUUGGUCAUGAGGAAGACAAGUGUUGGGAACUUCAUCCUGAACUCAAGCCUAAGUUCAGCAAAGAUGGAAGGAUGAUACCAAGGUCCUCACAACAAUUUCAAACCUCAUUUCAAGGCACAACUUGCUAAUGCUCACGCUCCUACUAUCUCACAAGGAUCCAUGGAGUUCACUGCCAAUCCAUUGUCAUUAAUCAAUGAAUUUGCAGCUUACCUACAAAGUAAGGGGCACGGAGGAGGCUCAUAUGGUCAAGGCAAUGAAGAGGGUAGUCACACACACAGCUAUGUUGGGACAAUUUGCCGGAUUUCUUGCUGGAAAUGAGAAAGUUCCAAAGGGAGAAGCAUCAGGUAUACUCAAAGCCUUUACUACUGCCCUAUUAACUAGUACUGAAAUUGAUUGUUGGAUAAUUGAUUCAGGCGCCACAGAUCAUAUGACAAACAAAGUUACAAAUUUACAUCAUUUUAAAAAAAUUUCAAGCCCCUCACAUGUGUCUAUUGCAAAUGGAAAAAAUGUCUUAGUUUUGGGAAAAGGAGAAAUAAACUUACUCUCUCAAAAAACACCUUCCACUGCCCUCUAUGUACCAACCUUUCCCUUCCAACUUUUGUCAAUUGGAAAGAUCACCAACACCCCUAAACUGCCGUGCUAUUUUCUCACCAAAUAAAGUAAUGUUUCAGGAUGUUCUCACCAUGAAGAUGAUUGGUGAAGGGGUCUUCAUAAAUGGACUUUACUACCUGUGCAAGAAUGCAUGUUUCACUCAGGCUCUUCAAGCUCAAUCGAAGUCCAUAGAUGAAAACCAACUUUGGCAUAGGAGAUUAGCUCACCCCUCUGAACUUGUCUUGUCGAAACUGUUUCCAAAUUUUUGUAACCCCUAUCCUACUUGUGAUACUUGUCAAUUUUCUAAGUUUACUAGGCUACCUUUUGGUAAUUCAAUGUCUAGGACAAGUAAACCUUUUGAAAUGGUACACACCGAUGUAUGGGGACCUGCAACUGAAUCAAUGGAAGGUUUUAAAUAUUUUGUUCUAUUUGUUGAUGAUUUCUCUCGAACAAGUUUUCUAUAUCUUAUGAAAUCAAAAAGUGAAGUCCCUACCAUUUUCAAAGACUUUCACAUGCAUGUUAAAACGCAAUUUCAAUCAAACAUUAAGGUUUUAAGGUCAGAUAAUGGCACUGAAUUUCUAUCCAACAACAUGCUUCAAUACAUAAGUUCUCAGGGUAUCAUACAUCAAACCAGCUGUGUGGGGACUCCCCAACAAAAUGGAGUAGCCGAGAGGAAAAAUAGAGAUCUCUUGGAAAAAACUCGUGCUCUCAUGAUUCACAUGCACGUUCCAAAGAAAUUUUGGUCGUUUGCCAUCCUUACUGCCACUUAUCUCAUCAAUCGACUUCCAAGUCGUGUGCUAGGGUUUAAAUCUCCUUAUGAAGUUCUCAAGGGGAGGAAAAUAGAUUUGACACAUCUCAAGGUGUUUGGUUGUGUGUGUUUUGUUCACAUCCAAACCUUGAACCGUGACAAAACUAGAUGCCAGGGCAACCAAGUGUGUGUUUAUGGGAUACUCGACCACUCAAAAGGGAUACAAGUGCUUCAAUCCAGUCACUAAGAAGUGCACAGUUUCAAGAGAUGUGAAGUUCGAAGAAGACUAUCCCUAUUUUACAAGUCAGGGGGAGGAUUUAGUUGACAUGUUCCCACUCCCUCAAAACUUUAAUUAUCCGAUGUUGGAAAAGAGAUCAGUCAUUGUAAGUCCAGAUUGUGAAGAAGUUCAAACUGACCAAAUUACUGCCAGUGAAAGUGAAGACGAGCCCUACUCUGAUCCUUCUCCGCCCUCUACAGAGUCUCAGGUGAUUAAAAGAAAUCCUCCUCGAAUCAGAAAACCUCCAGCUAGGUUGCAGGACUAUGUUACAUAUGCCUCACGACAUCCAAUCAAUGAAUGUAUCAGCUUUAGUAAGUUCUCAACAUCUCAUGCUGCAUUUCUCAGUGAAAUUGAUAAGCACUAUGAACCAAGAAGCUUUCAAGAAGCUUCUCUUCUCCCACAAUGGAACCAAGCCAUGAAAGAAGAGAUUCGUGCACUGGAAGAGAAUUGCACCUGGAGCCUAGUUCAACUACCACCAGGAAAAAAGGCUGUUGGAAGUCGUUGGAUUUACAAGACUAAAUUCAAAGCUGAUGGAUCUAUCGAGAGACACAAGGCUAGACUUGUUGCUCGAGGUUUCACCCAAACCUUUGGUGUAGAUUAUAAGGAAACAUUCGCACCGGUGGCCAAGAUGAACUCAGUCAGGGUUUUACUGUCAGUUGCAAUCAAUUGUGGAUGGUCACUCUACCAAAUGGACGUGAAGAAUGUUUCCUUCACGGCGAGCUGCAGGAAGAAGUGUAUAUGCAACCUCCUCCAGGCUAUGAUGGUAUUAAAGGCAACAUGGUUUGUAAAUUGCACAAGGCAAUAUACGGAUUGAAACAAUCACCAAGAGCUUGGUAUGCCAAGCUCAGUUCUGUUCUGGAAAAGGCUGGAUUCAUGCGAAGUAAUGCUGAUUCUUCGUUAUUUGUAAGAACUGGCACCAGGGGGAAGUUGGUGGUCCUCGUCUAUGUUGAUGAUCUUAUCAUCACUGUAGAUAAUACCGUGGAGAUUGAGGCACUAAAACUCUCACUACAUCAAGCUUUCGCUAUCAAAGAUUUGGGGAGGUUAAAGUAUUUUUUGGGGAUCGAAAUGGCAACAUCUUCAAAAGGACUGUUUCUACAUCAACGGAAAUAUGUAUUGGACCUCCUUCAAGAAGCAAAAAUGCUUGACUGCAAGCCUGUUAUCACUCCCGUUGAUUGUAAACUGAAGCUCAGCAUAGAUGGAGAAGCCAUGCAUGAUGUAAGCUACUAUCAACGAUUAGUAGGCAAGCUCAUAUACCUCACUAUCACUCGUCCAGAUAUCACAUAUGCAGUGAGCUUGGCUAGUCAGUUCAUGCACUCUCCCACUGUUGAUCACCUUAACCUUGUUAAGAGAAUCCUUCGUUAUCUUAAGGGUUCAAUUGGGCAAGGAAUUACAAUGCAUAACAAUCAGUCCACUGUCAUUAGUGGCUACACAGAUGCAGACUGGGCAGGUAAUGCAAUUGAUAGGAAAUCAAUCACAGGCUAUUGUACAUUUGUUGGUGGAAACCUUGUCACAUGGAAGAGUAAGAAGCAACAGGUAAUUGCUCGUUCCAGCGCAGAGGCUGAGUAUCGAGCCAUGGCAGCCACUGCGUGUGAACUCAUUUGGCUUAAAGGGCUUCUUUCAGACUUAGGGUUUCCUAGUUCUACUCCUAUGAUGCUUAUGUGUGAUAAUCAGGCAGCCAUGCAUAUUGCUGCCAAUCCUGUGUUCCAUGAAAGAACCAAACAUAUUGAAGUGGAUUGUCAUUUCAUCAGAGCUCAAGUUCAAACGCAAAUCAUCCGGACCAUGUUCACACGAAGCCAUGAUCAACUAGCAGAUCUUUUUACAAAGGCACUAGCAUCAUCUCAGUUUCAUCGGUUAUUGGGCAAGCUUGGCUCAGUGAAUCCCCUCGAUCCAGCUUGAGGGGGAGUGUUGGAAGAAUACAUGCAAGUCAUAUCUUGUGUUAAAAUGCAUGCAUGAAAUAAACAUGUUGGAUGACUAGUGAAGUUAGGCUAGUCAACAUUCUUUGUGUAAAAUGCAUGCAUGAAAUAAACAUGUUGGAUGACUAGUGAAGUUAGGCUAGUCAACAUUCUUUGUGUAAGUUAAGCAAGUUAGGCAAGUUAGGCAAGUUAGGCUUAUGUCUACUUUCUUUUCCUAUAUAUAUGUUUCAUUUGUAAUUGUUUCUUCAUGAAAUACACAUCAAAAAUUCUACAAUUCAGCUAUCAUUUUCUGCUUAGGAGACUCUCUUAAACUGUGUGAAACUGUGCUCAUUAGGCUGGGCAGAGCAAUGACAAGCUAAAAACAAAACAAAAACAAGCAGAAUUAUCACAUGUAGUGCAGGAUAAAUUCUAAACGACCCAAAUCUGGAUGGUAAAAUACUUGGAGUUGGAAUUAAUAGGAUCGAUUGAAACAUGGAUUUUUUUUUUAUUAGAUUGGUAUAUCUGACUUAAUUAAGAAGU